Molecule: long non-coding RNA, 459 nt
Filed under: Linum usitatissimum (flax)
Lineage: Eukaryota; Viridiplantae; Streptophyta; Magnoliopsida; Malpighiales; Linaceae
Description: long non-coding RNA (LUSI_LNC002439)
Source: RNAcentral
UAUCGCUGCGUAACAACUGGGAUUGGGAUGUCCUAUUGCAGUUGAUGAAUUGUUGACUCCUCACUUUAUCGGCAAAAGCAAUUCCAGCAGCCAUUCUUGACUUCUGUCCUCCUGAAUACACCUACUCAAAUCCACUAUCAAGUCUCUGUUUCUAAAACACUCUAGCAUUUUGAGCAAGUAUCAAGUCCACUCUACCAAAUCAGCUUACAAGUAAAUCGGCACUGCUUUAUGGUUAAAGAAAGAGUCACAUAGUAUCAGAUGUUUCGAGGAAGAAAAUCUUUUCGAGUAGGGUACAAAUAGCACAAUUCUUUGGAGUAGGGUACUAGUAUUUAGAGGUGACCUGAAGACACAACUCUUAUGCUUGAACCAUAAUAAUAAGCCUUUUCAUAAGGUAGUCUCAGAUAAUCAACUCUUAUGCAGCUUCAUCUCUUCCAAAUCAAUCCCUUGCUUAUUCAAUAA